CAGAACAUGAACUGUCAUCAAGCCCUUGUUGGGACUGUUCUAUGAGAGGAGAAGACAGAAAGGCCAACAUCUGAGCAGCUUUCUGAAAAUCAUCAUUUUUCUCUGCUGCGUCAGUUGUUGUUUCUCUUAGAUCAUGUACACCUGGUGACGAACACAGCGCACGAGAGAGGCAGACAGAGAGAGAGAGAAAAAGAGGAUCCCUUUACCUGGACGAUAUUUCCAGCUCACAGUUCACGGAGGGAAGGAACAAUCCAAGAGGAUGGACCCAUCCAGCGUCAUGGCAAACAGCAUCCUUGCUGUCUUCUCUGUGUUGCAGCUCGGCCAAGGAGAUGCUAAAAUAACGCAAACACCAAGUCUGGUGCUGGAGAGAGGACAAACUGCAUAUCUCAGAUGUGAACAAACCUAUGGUCACAACAAUAUGUUCUGGUACCGACAGGAUCCAGGUCAGGGAAUGCAGUUCCUCAUUAAUUUCUACAACAAAGAACAAAACGAAAAAGGAAAGAUUACUGAUCGCUUCCAGGCCUACCAGCCGCAGAAUAAUCUCUUUCGCUUGAACAUCUCGUCUGUGCAGCCAGAGGACUCAGCUGUGUAUUUCUGCGCCAGCAGUUUAGACACAGUGCUUCAGAGUCCCCUUCUCCCUCUACAAAAACCUCACCUGUUCCUUGUCUCUCUGCAGCCCCAGCACAGGAAGCAGCAGGCUGGCUGUCACCACAUGGAAGCAACAGGGCUAAUUCUCUGAGAAACAGAUGCUAAAAUAACCCCUGGAGAGAGGACAGAUUGCCUAUCUGAAAUGUCAGCAAACCUAUGAGCACGACAGCAUGUUCUGGUACCGGCAGGAUCUGUGUCAGUUGCUCUUCAGCUAUAAGGAGAAAGAGAAAAAGGCAAAAUUGUGAGUUGCUUGAGGCCAACUAGCCACAGGAUGGUCUCUUUCGAUCGAACAUC
Non-coding RNA from Chelonia mydas (Green sea turtle), 942 nucleotides. The record is from the annotation of a RefSeq genome assembly. NCBI's taxonomy places the organism in Eukaryota, Metazoa, Chordata, Testudines, Cheloniidae.